CAGAGGGUGCAAGCGUUAAUCGGAGUUACUGGGCGUAAAGGGCGCGUAGGUGGUUGUGUAUGUGAGACGUGAAAGCCCGGGCUUAACCUGGGAAAGUCGUCUUAAACUGCACGACUGGAGUACUGUAGAGGGUAGUGGAAUUUCCGGUGUAGCGGUGAAAUGCGUAGAGAUCGGAAGGAACACCAGUGGCGAAGGCGGCUACCUGGACAGAUACUGACACUGAGGCGCGAAAGCGUGGGGAGCAAACAGGAUUAGAUACCCUGGUAGUCCACGCUGUAAACGAUGAGAACUAGAUGUUGGCCAGCUUGACUGGUUAGUAUCGAAGCUAACGCGAUAAGUUCUCCGCCUGGGGAGUACGGCCGCAAGGCUA
This 370-nucleotide ribosomal RNA is filed under the name uncultured organism. RNAcentral describes it as "bacterial SSU rRNA". It matches the Rfam family "Bacterial small subunit ribosomal RNA", at positions 526 to 896 of the family's 1533-position model. The record is from RNAcentral.